This 306-nucleotide ribosomal RNA is filed under the name Triticum aestivum (bread wheat). Its description in RNAcentral is "partial small subunit ribosomal RNA". Lineage: Eukaryota; Viridiplantae; Streptophyta; Magnoliopsida; Poales; Poaceae. The record is from RNAcentral.
AUGGCCUCAAGUGAAAGAGUUUUCAGCAUGCAAAGUUUCAGGUCGCUGAGUGGAAUAACUUUGAUGUUUAAUUUAUCGCUAUUCGACCUCAUCUCGGUGGCCGAAAUUAUACUCCGAGUGACAGAAUUGAACAUUCCGAGUGGUUUUCGGCUGAUCAUGCCUUCAAGGCAACCUCGGAUGAAGGAGUAUUCUGAAGGAAUUGUCUUCGUCUCGUCGAAGCAAUCGAUUUUCAUAUAUAAAUCAUCUCAAUCCGAGUUCAUAUGCAAAAGUUAUAGUCAAUACGGUCUGGACAGGCCAGAGACCUAA